Coffea arabica (coffee) is the source of this 1813-nucleotide long non-coding RNA. RefSeq lists it as uncharacterized. The record is from RefSeq and is a predicted model, not a curated record. Lineage: Eukaryota; Viridiplantae; Streptophyta; Magnoliopsida; Gentianales; Rubiaceae.
UGAUAUGGCACUUGGUUGUCCUCCCUCUUGUGUAUUUGUUUGAGGGCUUUUCUUCUUCUUUCCCUAGGUAAGAUAAACCAAACGACGUCCUCUCUUCCUUCUUCUUUGUUUCUGUCUUUCAAAACGUAGCAGCAUCAAUCAAUGUCAAGAUCUCUUGAAGACCAGUUCCUAGACAAAACUUCAUUUUGUUCUCUAGACAAAACUCCAUUUUUUCCAUGAGACCCACAAUUUCUGGCAUUUGAUUGUACUUGGACGAGAUUGCAAUCUCGGAUGGCUGGCAAUUGGCCGGAGGUGAUAUGGCACUUGGUUGUCCUCCCUCUUGUGUAUUUGUUUGAGGGCUUUUCUUCUUCUUUCCCUAGGUAAGAUAAACCAAACGACGUCCUCUCUUCCUUCUUCUUUGUUUCUGUCUUUCAAAACGUAGCAGCAUCAAUCAAUGUCAAGAUCUCUUGAAGACCAGUUCCUAGACAAAACUUCAUUUUGUUCUCUAGACAAAACUCCAUUUUUUCCAUGAGACCCACAAUUUCUGGCAUUUGAUUGUACUUGGACGAGAUUGCAAUCUCAAUUGGAGGGUCUAGAUUUUUUUCUUCUUCUGAGGAGUGGGUGCUUAGGAUUUGAUAGACGAUGGGCUCGAGACAAAAAAUGGCUGGCAACCUUCUUCCCCUUCUACCCCCGGUUCUCCCUCUUGUUCUUUUUCAUCUUUCUCCAUCCUUCGAGUAGUUAAGGCUAAUUUUUUCUGUUUUUCUGACAUUUUUCCUAAUAUUUCUGUUUUCUUGGCUAAAAGCAGCCAAUUUUUUUCCCAUCUCCUUCGUGUCCUUUUGUGAAACAAUGAGGAAGGGGAAGGUCAAUAUUUCAUCUCCGCUAUCUGAUGUGAAUUUCUAGAAUGCAGAUAUGUUGCUUUUCUUCCCCAUUCUUUCCAUGAUUAAUGUGUCCGUUUCAUUGCUAUUUUAUCAUUGCUUUUUUAUUUUUAAUUAGAAGAAAAACUUUUAAUAAUUGAUGAUUAGCUAGCUUUUAGAUAUUUAUUUACUUAGUGUUUUGUUAUUCCAUUUUUUGUUCUUGUCUUUCUUGGAUUGUUCUGGAGCUGGGAGGAAAAAUGGCCACCCGUGAGAAACAACUGUUGUUGUUACAGGAAGGAAUAUGAAGGCUUGAACUUGACGUCUCUAAGAAGUUGUUAAAGCUGGAAAUGACCAUACUUCGGGUUUUGUUACCGAUGGACCUGCUCAAUUGCAUGGUGCUGCCUAGACAAGUGCCUCACCCUGCUCUUCAGCAUCAUUAAUAUUUUCGCCAACUCUAGGCGUGCCUUCAAAUGCUGAAUGGAAUGGGUAUCAGGCUAGCAUUUGCAAUGACCAACCCAGUAUCUGAGAUCAAUUUCUAUGCACUGCACCAGCAACAAAUGCCAGUUGAUGAAUAUCCUCAGCGACCUGGUCAACCUGAUUGCAGUUCUUGAAAACUGGAGACUAUAAAUACAAAGCUAAUUGUAGAUUUAACCAUCCUAAGCUUCAAAGUUCCAAGUCAACGUCAUGUGCUCUUAGCAACAAGAGUUUGCCUCUGAGACCUCUUCAUGAUCAAGUUGUAGAAAAGUUCAAUUGCAUACCAUCUCCAGGGAUCUAGCACAUCUAAUACUUUCACUUUGGUUCUCAACAAUUUCUUUCAAAAGUUGCUCAUUCACUUCUAGAACGAGUACGAAUGACAAAAAGUUGUUAUUUUUUGUUAAGUUAAAAUAUGUAUUUAUCAAAAUCAUGGAAGGUCAAGUUCAUGUUUCGAGAUUCUGCGAGACUAAUUUUAGUUUUUUAUCUAUUUAUUACGAAUUCCUUGA